UACGAAGGGGCUAGCGUUGUUCGGAAUCACUGGGCGUAAAGCGCACGUAGGCGGAUCUUUAAGUCAGGGGUGAAAUCCCGAGGCUCAACCUCGGAACUGCCUUUGAUACUGGGGAUCUCGAGUCCGGGAGAGGUGAGUGGAACUGCGAGUGUAGAGGUGAAAUUCGUAGAUAUUCGCAAGAACACCAGUGGCGAAGGCGGCUCACUGGCCCGGAACUGACGCUGAGGUGCGAAAGCGUGGGGAGCAAACAGG
This 252-nucleotide ribosomal RNA is filed under the name uncultured bacterium. RNAcentral's name for it is "partial 16S ribosomal RNA". It matches the Rfam family "Bacterial small subunit ribosomal RNA", at positions 524 to 776 of the family's 1533-position model. The record is from RNAcentral.